Molecule: ribosomal RNA, 435 nt
Filed under: Triticum aestivum (bread wheat)
Lineage: Eukaryota; Viridiplantae; Streptophyta; Magnoliopsida; Poales; Poaceae
Description: partial small subunit ribosomal RNA
Source: RNAcentral
AUGCUCACAGGUCGUCCUGCGGAGGAAAUGCCCGCUUCUAUGGGUGACCUUCUUCCCGAGCUGCUGCAACUGCACGAACGAGUUCAGCAGGUGAUGAAAGGCGUCGCCCAGGCCUUGUGGCCAUCUAUCUCGCUGCCCGAAAGCCUUGGAGAGCUUGCAGAGAGGCUUCAGGGAGCACGGCGGCACUUCCGGUUAUGGAAGAUAUCGGCCUGCCGUCAAGGCGCCAGGGAGGCCUGGGCCAUGGUGAAGACGCGGUACACGAAGGCUGACCCAAACCACAUGGCCGAGGUCAGACCUGUCAGACCCGAUGGGAAGGAGAUCCCUGUGAGCUUAGUGUACGACCAAGUAGAAUUGGCCGCAAAGUAUUCCCAGAAGGACUGUAAACUAGACAGCCUAUUAGAUGGCAUUGAAGAGGAAUACAAUCAGUCAAGUUGA